GACGAACGCUGGCGGCGUGCCUAAUACAUGCAAGUUGAGCGCUGAAGGUUGGUACUUGUACCGACUGGAUGAGCAGCGAACGGGUGAGUAACGCGUGGGGAAUCUGCCUUUGAGCGGGGGACAACAUUUGGAAACGAAUGCUAAUACCGCAUAAAAACUUUAAACACAAGUUUUAAGUUUGAAAGAUGCAAUUGCAUCACUCAAAGAUGAUCCCGCGUUGUAUUAGCUAGUUGGUGAGGUAAAGGCUCACCAAGGCGAUGAUACAUAGCCGACCUGAGAGGGUGAUCGGCCACAUUGGGACUGGGACACGGCCCAAACUCCUUCGGGAGGCAGCAGUAGGGAAACUUCGGCAAUGGACGAAAGUCUGACCGAGCAACGCCGCGUGAGUGAAGAAGGUUUUCGGAUCGUAAAACUCUGUUGGUAGGGAAGAACGUUGGUGAGAGUGGAAAGCUCAUCAAGUGACGGUAACUACCCAGAAAGGGACGGCUAACUACGUG
Molecule: ribosomal RNA, 497 nt
Filed under: uncultured bacterium
Lineage: Bacteria
Description: partial 16S ribosomal RNA
Rfam family: Bacterial small subunit ribosomal RNA
Source: RNAcentral